Molecule: ribosomal RNA, 253 nt
Filed under: uncultured bacterium
Lineage: Bacteria
Description: partial 16S ribosomal RNA
Rfam family: Bacterial small subunit ribosomal RNA
Source: RNAcentral
UACGUAGGGGGCAAGCGUUAUCCGGAAUUACUGGGUGUAAAGGGUGAGUAGGCGGUAUAUCAAGCCAUAUGUGAAAGGCUGGGGCUCAACCCCAGGAUUGCAUAAGGAACUGAUAAACUAGAGUACAGGAGAGGUAAGCGGAAUUCCUAGUGUAGCGGUGAAAUGCGUAGAUAUUAGGAGGAACACCAGUGGCGAAGGCGGCUUACUGGACUGAAACUGACGCUGAGUCACGAAAGCGUGGGGAGCGAACAGG